CAAAGAAUAGUUUAAUUGAUUGUUGAAUACUAGCUUUGGGAGCUGGCGGUGGGGGUUAAAUUCCCCUUUCUUUGA
Molecule: transfer RNA, 75 nt
Filed under: Stegastes flavilatus (beaubrummel damselfish)
Lineage: Eukaryota; Metazoa; Chordata; Actinopteri; Pomacentridae
Description: tRNA-Pro
Rfam family: tRNA
About the family: Transfer RNA (tRNA) molecules are approximately 80 nucleotides in length. Their secondary structure includes four short double-helical elements and three loops (D, anti-codon, and T loops).
Source: RNAcentral